AUUUUUUAGACAUUGUACUAGAUAUUUUACCUAUGUUACUUUUUGUUAUUGUUGUUAAUUUCAUCAAAGGACUGUGAUAAGAAGUUUUGAGAUUUUAAAAGUAUUUUUUAAAUGUUACCAUUAGACCCACUUUUGUAUAACUGCCUUCAAAGGAAUCAUAGUUUUCCAGGUGGCCAGUCACGGUGGCUCAUGCCUGUAAUCCUCAUCACUUUGAUAGGCCGAGAUGAAAAGAUUGCAAAGAGUUAAUGACCAGCCUGGGCAACAUAGUGAGACCCCAUCUCAAAAAAAAAAAAAAAAUUCCCAGGUAAAUGAUGAUCUCCAAAUCUAUUUCUUUUAGACAACUGUGGUAUAGAAUUGUGACUAGUGUAUUAUUUUGUGAUCUUUUUUGUUACAUCCUUAGUGUCCAAUAGGAUUUUUGUUGCGUUUGCUUUAAAUCUGAAAUGCUGCAUUUUAAUUCAGCUACAUAAAUAAUGCAUGUUUUCAACAAAACUCAGAUACAAAUAAUGUUCUAAUAUUGUUAUUUAUUUGCAUAUAGCAUUAAUCUCUAGUAAGUCUAACUUCACAAUCUCUUUUCUCACUUUUCAGUAUACCUCUAGCUUCCAGCUGUUUUACCUAGAGACUCUAAGACCUAUGACUGCCAGAAUGAAAGAUUGUUACUCUUUUCCCUUGCUUAUUAAGAGGGCCAGAGGGUGUGAUGGCUCCGACUUGACUGAUAUAAUUGAAAUCAAAGACUUGCCAAGUUAUACCAGCAACUCCAGCAAAACUGUGAAUUUACUGGCCUUGGAGGACUAUGGAUUGAAACACACAAAACAUCUUUGACUGUGCAUGCCCUUCACACUGACUGCCUAGUUCCCUCACAGAAGACUGUACCAUGUUGGUGUAAGAAAUCAUUGUGUAUAUGAAUUUUGUCAUGAGGACCUAGUGGUCAGCACUCCUUCACAUUACAGAACAAGGAAAAUAUAGUAUGUAUAAACUCUUCAGCAAUCCCUAUUUUAGGGAGCCCAAAUUCAAUUCACCUAAAUUGAAAAAGUUCAAAUAUAACAAAGGAUUAGAUCAGUUAUCAAGCUAAAUGAAUCCCAAAGCAUAUUGCCUUCUAAACUAAUUUUAUUCUAUACACAGCUGUAAGAUUACUAUGUAGAUGGACUUUUUUUUUUUUUCAAUUAGCUUUGUGCCACUCAGGAAUAUAAAAAAUGUUUGGAAUAUCUUUUUGAAUCCAUUAUUUGUUCCCAAAUAUUUAUAAACUUCUUUCAAUUUUAAGCCAAAAUUCUGUUGCACACUGUGAAUAUAAAGUCAGCUGAAUUAUAGUAGCUUGUUCAUCCAACUUCUGUGAACAGGUAGACAUUCACUGGAAUCUUUCCAAGCCCUUGGCAAUGGAAAUUUUUACCUAUUGGCUAAGGCAACGCUCUUUGCAUUUCAAGUAGUGAACGCGAUGUUAAUGCUUAAGCUAUCUUAAUUUUCCAAAUGCUAAUGGCAUAGUUGAAAGUGUUAAUAAUAUGACUAUAUCAGAUCUUGUCUUUAGGGGGGCUUAAUUUAUCCUAUCCUUGAGCAAACCAUCUGGCAUUGCUAAGCCCCAAGUUGCCUGGGCCUGUGUAACACUGGGUGGGUUUUAAUUCUUUUGUCUAGCCUAGUAAAUCAUUCAAUAUGGUUAGUUUUUAAAUGCCGGCUUGUUUUCAAAACUGAAAUAGUAAGAGCUGAUGAUAUAAACCAAAAUUGAAACUAGAAGAAAUUUCUCCUUCCUUAUUUUACACAGAAGUGGGCUGGAGCUGCUGCAAUCAUGGGGAUGUUUGAUAUUGCAACAAAGGAAGCAAAACAGAGCUAAAUGAAUCCUGUGCAAUGAGGAGGCAUUUUCAGGUAGUGGCCAGAAACUAGAAACUGCUCUUUUCUGGUUAAAAACAUUUGUGACCCAUAAAACCUUCUCACUGCUUACUGAAUAGCACAGCUCUGAGAUACAAACCAGCAAAUUUACAAAUCACAAUGCUUUUCCUGCUGAACCAAUAGCUGUAGCAAAUAUAUAUGUAAAAUGCGAUGGAAGAAUGAAGACCUCUUUAAAAGCCUGAAGAAAAUUUAUACUAGAUAUGAAAGUUUGAGCAAUCACAUAAAAGCCCUAGUCCCUUAACAUUGCUUUUAAGGUCAUCAGUGUCCUGGAUGUUGGUGACUUCCUUGGACCCAUUUCUCCACUCCCCACCUUGAACUUCAUGUUUAACUCUUAUUUCUUCCAGUACUUAGUGAAUAUUCUCUUCUCUCCAAGCCUUUUCCUGGAGGAACAUUCUCUUGUCUGACUUCCUAAGUCUGAGUUAAGUGGUCUCCUAUGUCUCCUCUGAUAAACUUAUUUUACCCUGUCAUUAUUCUUAGCACACUUAUUUAAUGCCCUAUUUACUGGCUUAUCCUGCUUCUACGCUAUAAGCUCUGGCAUAUCUGUCCUGUUCACCAUUGUAUCCUGAAUGCCUGGCACUUAGAAAGCCUUCAAUAAAUACUUUUUGAAUGGAGUUCAUUGCAGAAACACUAAAGAAUUUUUGCAUGUUUUUACUUUAAGAAAAAUCUUAGUAGCAGGAUCAGAUCUCAGUCAUAUAGUACACUCAAUUGUGCACAUGAUUCCUGUAUUUAUAUUCUUUAAAUAAACUGAAUUUUAAUUCCAAACUACCAUUUCGCUUGGAUGUCAAGAAAUUUAAUCUCAGUCAUUUAGGGGCUGGAUCCUUCCCUGGGAUCUCACAGAAUCAGGGAGGUUUAUAUGAAAUCCAUGAAAUGGCUGAAAGGUUUCCACUGUCUUUCUGGUCCUGCUCCUAGUCCACGCAUGAGGAAAGAAGCCCUGUCUAUCUCUGCUCCUAAGCUACACAGGGUUUCAAGAAUCUGAGCUGCUUCUGGGAAGCCCUGGCCCAGAGCC
RNAcentral lists this long non-coding RNA (2881 nucleotides) under Macaca mulatta (Rhesus monkey). RNAcentral describes it as "lncRNA (ENSMMUG00000061507.1)". Lineage: Eukaryota; Metazoa; Chordata; Mammalia; Primates; Cercopithecidae. The record is from RNAcentral.